UACGGAGGGUGCAAGCGUUAUCCGGAUUCACUGGGUUUAAAGGGUGCGUAGGAGGGUAGGUAAGUCAGUGGUGAAAUCUCCGGGCUCAACUCGGAAACUGCCGUUGAUACUAUCUGUCUUGAAUACCGUGGAGGUGAGCGGAAUAUGUCAUGUAGCGGUGAAAUGCUUAGAUAUGACAUAGAACACCGAUUGCGAAGGCAGCUCACUACACGAAUAUUGACUCUGAGGCACGAAAGCGUGGGGAUCAAACAGGAUUAGAAACCCCCGUAGUCC
This 273-nucleotide ribosomal RNA is filed under the name uncultured bacterium. RNAcentral's name for it is "partial 16S ribosomal RNA". It matches the Rfam family "Bacterial small subunit ribosomal RNA", at positions 524 to 796 of the family's 1533-position model. The record is from RNAcentral.